Molecule: long non-coding RNA, 667 nt
Filed under: Nicotiana tabacum (common tobacco)
Lineage: Eukaryota; Viridiplantae; Streptophyta; Magnoliopsida; Solanales; Solanaceae
Description: long non-coding RNA (NTAB_LNC016879)
Source: RNAcentral
CGUUAAAGAGUUCAGCCAAGAUUCCUAAUUCUUUCAAAAUGUUAUUUCUAUUCUCCUAGGGAAAGAGUUCAACAAAGAUCAUUCUCCAAAAUCUCCUUACAUAGCAACGUAUUGAUAAGUGCUUUAAGGAAAAGUUUCGGCCAAGAUUUUCUUUGCAUAGCAACGUGAUUACUUCGAGCUUUUCAUAUAGCUUGUUUUGUGUUUUAUCGCAAUUAACGUGUGUUAGAGGAUUGUCAAGAAAAUCGAUUCAGGUAUGUUAAGACUAUCCCUUCUUUCUUUUGACAUGAUCUAUACGACACGUACAAAAUGAGCAAAUGCACAACUUUCAUAAAUGACUCUAUUCAUAGAAAUAUUAGGGGUGUCUAUAUUCUUGAUUCCCCACGUGAAUUAUUAUUAUAUCUUCUGUUUAUGGGUCUUAGAAAAAUACGUAUUUGAUAAAAUUUAUCCGACAUGCAUAUUCUUUUUAUGACAUUAUGAGAAAAUCGUAUUAACGUAUUUCUUAUGCAUUUCAUACAUUUAUACAUGUACAUUGACCCAUGACCAGAUGGCGUUAUAUACUCGUAUAUAUAUGUAUAUGGGAUAUGGGAAAAGGUUACGGCGUUAUAUACGCACCACCACCUGAUCAACUGGUAUACGUUGAUGAUUUGCCCACAGUGGCCGAAAUGAU